UACGUAGGGUGCAAGCGUUAAUCGGAAUUACUGGGCGUAAAGGGUGCGCAGGCGGUUAUAUAAGACAGAUGUGAAAUCCCCGGGCUCAACCUGGGAACUGCGUUUGUGACUGCAUAGCUAGAGUACGGUAGAGGGGGAUGGAAUUCCGCGUGUAGCAGUGAAAUGCGUAGAUAUGCGGAGGAACACCGAUGGCGAAGGCAAUCCCCUGGACCUGUACUGACGCUCAUGCACGAAAGCGUGGGGAGCAAACAGG
RNAcentral lists this ribosomal RNA (253 nucleotides) under uncultured bacterium. Its description in RNAcentral is "partial 16S ribosomal RNA". It matches the Rfam family "Bacterial small subunit ribosomal RNA", at positions 524 to 776 of the family's 1533-position model. The record is from RNAcentral.